Molecule: non-coding RNA, 72 nt
Organism: Ictidomys tridecemlineatus (thirteen-lined ground squirrel)
Lineage: Eukaryota; Metazoa; Chordata; Mammalia; Rodentia; Sciuridae
Source: Rfam
GGGGGUGUGGCUCAGUGGUGGAGUACUUGCCUAGCACGUGAGAGGCACUGGGUUUGAUCCUCAGCACCACAU